UCAUUUGUUUGCAUCCUCCUUUGUAUAAUUUGUUCACAUCCAGGAGUUGUUUUGAUUGUUGAUAUCCUGUGAUAUUGAGUAUGUUCGUAUUUGAUAAUUUGAUAUCAUUCGGAGAUGGUCAUUUAAGCCUUGUGAUUUGAACCCCUUUUGGCUUACAUUUUAUAGUUUGAUCCUUAGGGUAUACUUGAGCUAACCACCUGUGGGGGUACCACAUGCAUGUCCUCUUGACACAAGGGAAUGACACCUUCCGUGGCGGUGUGAUUAG
Molecule: long non-coding RNA, 265 nt
Filed under: Panax ginseng (ginseng)
Lineage: Eukaryota; Viridiplantae; Streptophyta; Magnoliopsida; Apiales; Araliaceae
Description: long non-coding RNA (PGIN_LNC003295)
Source: RNAcentral